This 214-nucleotide long non-coding RNA is filed under the name Hordeum vulgare. RNAcentral describes it as "long non-coding RNA (HVUL_LNC009634)". The record is from RNAcentral. Lineage: Eukaryota; Viridiplantae; Streptophyta; Magnoliopsida; Poales; Poaceae.
CGCACACUUUACGUUCGCUUUACCUAGAACAAGUAUGAAACUAGAAGUACUUUGUAGGAGGGAUAGGAUAGGUUAGCAAGAAAAUAAAGAACACAUAAAUAAAACUAGGGGCUGGUUAGAAACAAUUAUGUGAGUGUUGAAAAGUGGUGGUAGGAGUUGCGAAAUUGUCCCCAAGCAAUUGACUAUGUUACUAGACCGAUAGCAAGUUUUAUGU